CCUCCUCUCUCUCUCUCUCUCUCUCUCUCUCUCUCUCUCUCUCUCUCUCUCUCUCUCUCUCUCUCUCUAUAUAUAUAUAUAUAUAUAUGAGUAGAGCUUCUAUACUAUCGAAAGUAUAGAGGAUCUGAUAUUUUUGACUUUUUGACCCUUAGAUCAACUCUUUUGAUCAUUUCUAAUCUAUCAACCACUUUGAUCAUUUCUAUCCUUUGGAUUAAUACUAUUGCUUUAUGGGGACCACUCAACCCUAGGGGCACUACUCAUGUCAACCCUAAGGGGGACCACAAUCAUUCCAAUUGUACAAUUCUUAAUCUAAUAGUUAAAAAGUCGGAAGUAUCAAAUUCUCUACACUUCCGAUAGCAUAGUAACUAUACACUACAUAUAUACACCUCCAAACAAUGUAUAAAUGCUAAUCUAUGUAUAACCCCAAAUCCUAAAAAUAAUUAAAUAAAAAAUUUAAACUUAUCUCUAGCUAUAUUUUGAAAUUGUGUUUGGAUUAU
RNAcentral lists this long non-coding RNA (497 nucleotides) under Ananas comosus (pineapple). RNAcentral describes it as "long non-coding RNA (ACOM_LNC025836)". The record is from RNAcentral. Lineage: Eukaryota; Viridiplantae; Streptophyta; Magnoliopsida; Poales; Bromeliaceae.